RNAcentral lists this ribosomal RNA (433 nucleotides) under uncultured bacterium. RNAcentral describes it as "partial 16S ribosomal RNA". It matches the Rfam family "Bacterial small subunit ribosomal RNA", at positions 29 to 507 of the family's 1533-position model. The record is from RNAcentral.
AACGAACGCUGGCGGCAUGCCUAACACAUGCCAGUCGAACGAGACCUUCGGGUUUAGUGGCGCACGGGUGCGUAACCCGUGGGAACCUGCCCUUAGGUUCGGAAUAACUCCCCGAAAGGGGUGCUAAUAACGGAUAAUGUUUCCGGACAAAAGAUUUAUCGCCUUUGGAUGGGCCCGCGUUGGAUUAGGUAGUUGGUAGGGUAAAAGCCUACCAAGGCGACGAUCCAUAGCUGGUCUGAGAGGAUGAUCAGCCACACUGGGACUGAGACACGGCCCAGACUCCUACGGGAGGGAGCAGAGGGGAAUAUUGGACAAUGGGCGAAAGCCUGAUGCAGCGAUGCGGCGUGAGUGAUGAAGGCCUUAGGGUUGUAAAGCUCUUUUACCCGGGAUGAUAGUGACAGUACCGGGAGAAUAAGCUCCGGCUAACUCCGUG